Molecule: non-coding RNA, 196 nt
Filed under: Clostridium perfringens
Lineage: Bacteria; Bacillati; Bacillota; Clostridia; Eubacteriales; Clostridiaceae
Description: 6S RNA
Rfam family: 6S / SsrS RNA
About the family: E. coli 6S RNA was the first non coding RNA to be sequenced, but its function was unknown until recently. It consists of 184 nucleotides that fold into an extended hairpin structure with a large single-stranded internal bulge.
Source: RNAcentral
UUAAUCCUGAGAUGUACGCGAAGCUUAUUAAUUUUAACCUACAUGAGAAAUACGGGAUUUGCAAAACAGCUAGUGAAAUCGGGCUUCAAGUUUUACUUCACUUUUGUGACGGAAGAUGAUCGAGUUAGUUUGCGUAAAACCCACCUGCGAGAGGCAGGUAUAAAAUUGUAAGUGUGACGGCAUAUUUGGGAACAUU